RNAcentral lists this transfer RNA (65 nucleotides) under Roisinitermes ebogoensis. RNAcentral's name for it is "tRNA-Ala". Lineage: Eukaryota; Metazoa; Arthropoda; Insecta; Blattodea; Kalotermitidae. The record is from RNAcentral.
GGGGUUGUAGUUAAAUAUAACAUUUGGGUUGCAUCCAAAAAGUACUUAAAGAAUAGUCCUCCUCA